UUUGAAAGUAAUAAAAGAUUAAACGUAAAUGUAAUAAUAAUAAAAAAGCAUAGACUUGUCGAAGCGCAAGCAUACAUUUACAACUCUAAAAAUAUGUUCAAUCUGUGUUUAUUUAUUGAUUGUCAUUCGUAUUUAACUUUAUUAUAAUAUAAUUGAUGAUUUAAAGAAAACAAUGAUUACUUUAACUUUAUCGUUUUGUUUGAUUAGUGGCUC
This 213-nucleotide unclassified non-coding RNA is filed under the name Hevea brasiliensis (rubber tree). Lineage: Eukaryota; Viridiplantae; Streptophyta; Magnoliopsida; Malpighiales; Euphorbiaceae. The record is from RNAcentral.